CAGAGGCAGGACUGGGGCGGGGCUUGAUCGGCUUUGUAGCAAAAGGCUACCUGAACCGGUGCUCCUCCUACGCCGUACCGUCACGGGUCAUCUCAGGCAGUGGCCGGUCCUCAUCGAUGCCCAGGCAGGAGUCUAGCGCUCCGGGGAUCACAUGGAGCGCUAAUCCGGUUAAAGAGGCUCUCAGCCUGCCUCUAGUGGUGAAGUGGGGGGAGUAG
Molecule: long non-coding RNA, 215 nt
Filed under: Rhinolophus ferrumequinum (greater horseshoe bat)
Lineage: Eukaryota; Metazoa; Chordata; Mammalia; Chiroptera; Rhinolophidae
Description: lncRNA (ENSRFEG00010015975.1)
Source: RNAcentral